UUAAAGAUGAGCUUGCGCCACAUUAGUUUGUUGGUGGGGUAAUGGCCUACCAAGACGAUGAUGUGUAGCUGGACUGAGAGGUCGAACAGCCACAUUGGGACUGAGACACGGCCCAAACUCCUACGGGAGGCAGCAGUAGGGAAUUUUCGGCAAUGGAGGAAACUCUGACCGAGCAACGCCGCGUGAACGAUGAAGUAUUUCGGUAUGUAAAGUUCUUUUAUUGAAGAAAAAAAUAGUGGAAAAACUAUCUUGACGUUAUUCAAUGAAUAAGCCCCGGCUAACUAUGUGCCAGCAGCCGCGGUAAGACAUAGGGGGCGAGCGUUAUCCGGAAUUAUUGGGCGUAAAGGGUGCGUAGGCGGUUAGGAAAGUCUAUAAUUUAAUUUCAGUGCUUAACGCUGUCUUGUUAUAGAAACUACCUUGACUAGAGUUAGAUAGAGGCAAGCGGAAUUCCAUGUGUAGCGGUAAAAUGUGUAAAUAUAUGGAGGAACACCAGAAGCGUAGGCGGCUUGCUGGGUCUUGACUGACGCUGAGGCACGAAAGCGUGGGUAGCAAACAGGAUUAGAUACCCUGGUAGUCCACGCCGUAAACGAUGAGUACUAAGUGUCGGGAUAAAACUCGGUACUGAAGUUAACACAUUAAGUACUCCGCCUGAGUAGUACGUACGCAAGUAUGAAACUUAAAGGAAUUGACGGGACUCCGCACAAGCGGUGGAUCAUGUUGUUUAAUUCGAAGAUACACGAAAAAUCUUACCAGGUCUUGACAUGCUCUGCAAAGCUAUAGAAAUAUAGUGGAGGUUAUCAGGGACACAGGUGGUGCAUGGUUGUCGUCAGUUCGUGUCGUGAGAUGUUAGGUUAAGUCCUAAAACGAGCGCAACCCUUGUCGUUAGUUACCAGCACGUAAUGGUGGGCACUUUAACGAGACUGCCAAUUAAACAUUGGAGGAAGGUGAGGAUUACGUCAAAUCAUCAUGCCCCUUAUGAUCUGGGCUACAAACGUGAUACAAUGGCUGUUACAAAGAGUAGCUGAAGCGCGAGUUUUUAGCCAAUCUCAAAAAAGCAGUCUCAGUUCGGAUUGAAGUCUGUAACUCGACUUCAUGAAG
Molecule: ribosomal RNA, 1098 nt
Filed under: Candidatus Phytoplasma fraxini
Lineage: Bacteria; Bacillati; Mycoplasmatota; Mollicutes; Acholeplasmatales; Acholeplasmataceae
Description: bacterial SSU rRNA
Rfam family: Bacterial small subunit ribosomal RNA
Source: RNAcentral